GCCUCCUCAGCCCGCCCGAGCCACGACGUCACUCGCGUAACCUGGAAGUGCCCGCGUCGGAGCCGGGCGGGUGUUGGCGCGCUGCGCCCCGUGCUGCCUUACCGCCCUCUGGUGCCCUGUGGAGGCUGGGACCUGCGGGCGGCCGUCGUGCUGAGGGAGGGAAGAAGGGAGCGGGGGAGCUGUUGCUGGGGUGGUUAUUAGACUGCGGAGGAGCUUUGGCCUGGGAACAGGGACCUUUACUCAUCGGUGCCGCAUUGAUAGCAGCCCUUGGAGGAUUGCUCUGUGCGUUGGUUUGUAAAUCCAACUCCUCUGCACCGUUUGGUACCAAGUGCCUUAAUGAAAUCCAGGUAAAAGAUCAAAUUUUAAUCCCUUCAAACGAUCUUAUUUCUCUGCCAAAAUUGAAAUCAAGAAUUAAUAUCUGAACAUGGAGUUAUCAAGGAAAAUCCUCUUUCUUGUGACUGUACCAAGGUCAAAACAACACAUCCCUUUCAUCAGAAGUGACCUUCUGUACAAAUCCUUCUCUAAAGCACUACAUAAGAGUCAAGCUAUAUUCAGACCUCAAAAGAUGUGCCGAAAUGGCUGAAACCAACCUUUGGUGGAAAGUUCAGAGAAGAGAGAAUAUCAAAGGACCCUUAUUUUUAACCAAGAAUCCAGCAGUUUAUGUCGAUUUCCCAGCUCAGACAAUGUGGCAGCCUGAAGUAUAUUCUAGCUAAACAGACCACAUCCUGAAACUAAAUCUCCUUUCAGUGUUUUUGCUAUUCAGUGUUCAGUGGUGCAAGUCCACUGAAGUCAGUCAAGAAAUCCCAGUUUUAUCAAGCUCAGAGUCUGCUCUGUGGAGACCACCGCUGCUGGUUAAAUUCGUGCUGUGCCACCUGCAGCUGAAGUCUACACGUGCUUCGAAUCCUUGGGGAUAGGUGUCUGCAGGCAGCUUCCCCCGCUUCCUUCACGGCCACAGAAGCGCCUUUAAGCCACGCAGUGCUGUCACUCAGGCUGCCCGCAGUGUCACUUACCGGCAUCACCACAGAGGGGGAGCAGCACACCGCAGGUUGGCCCGGGAUACGUGCAGAGACGUGCUGCUGCGGGGUGGUGGUUCGCGUUUUAGGAUCAUGGGGGCUUCUUCACAGCAGAGAGGAUCCCAGUGAAUGCAGGGUGGCCCUGGGGAGCUACCUGCAAUGGUCACUGACAAGCAGUUCCUUGAGCAACAAGGGCUCGAUCAUGAGCUGAAAACCACCAGAGUGGGGCCACCAACACCCCCGUCCACAUCUUUGCCUUUUUAGGUAGUUCUUUGCUUCAGUACCAGUAUGAAACUUUAACCUGCUCACCAGUGCUGCUGUGUUGAGUUGGCAAGUGGGGUGAAUGGUGAUAAUAGAAAGUACCCUUUACACUCCCCUCAUUUUAUGUACAUGCGCUUGCUGUUAUUUAUUAUAUCAUGUCAUGCUCAAAUAAGGCUGCAGUACUCUGGGGUCUGUUUUUACUGUUUGGUUGCUUGGGCUACAGCAAGUGGCACCACAAUAUUGCAGCACUUCAGAGAGGAAUGGGAAAGAGAAUGUGUGUGGAUGUAUGAUUAUAGCAAUGGUUGUGGUCAGAGAGGCCCACCAAGAAUUAAAGAUGUCUAGCAAAUCCUCCUCCAAAUUUAUGGAUCCAGCUUAACACUCAAAUGCAUGAAUACAAAUCCUGUAGCUUUAUAGAGACAUCUGCCUGUGUUCUGAAGGCUAAUUUAACUUGACAUAUAGUACUUUUACCUGUUGCUCCUUUAAUUAAUAACUAUAUUCAUGUUCCUUA
Long non-coding RNA from Tympanuchus pallidicinctus (lesser prairie-chicken), 1782 nucleotides. RefSeq lists it as uncharacterized. NCBI's taxonomy places the organism in Eukaryota, Metazoa, Chordata, Aves, Galliformes, Phasianidae. The transcript has 4 exons. The record is from RefSeq and is a predicted model, not a curated record.